This 259-nucleotide long non-coding RNA is filed under the name Vigna radiata. RNAcentral describes it as "long non-coding RNA (VRAD_LNC015751)". The record is from RNAcentral. Lineage: Eukaryota; Viridiplantae; Streptophyta; Magnoliopsida; Fabales; Fabaceae.
GUGCCCGACAAGGAUUGACCUUGCUCCUACGUAUUCUCAAUAUGAGAAAUCAGGGUUACGUAGUUCUUNUAGAAAGAUUGUUUGUUUGUUUGAAAAUAUUUAUUUUUUGGUGUUUGAUAUAUAUAAAAAAAGGAAAAGGUUCUUAGCACGAGGACGAUGCGUGCGAUCACACACGAGCUUAAACAUUCAAAACAAAUUUUAUUUUAUUUUAUAAAAAGGGAAAAUGGUCUUAGCACGAGGACGAUGCGUGCGAUCACAC